This 75-nucleotide transfer RNA is filed under the name Roseobacter sp. GAI101. RNAcentral describes it as "tRNA-Gln". It matches the Rfam family "tRNA". Rfam says of the family: Transfer RNA (tRNA) molecules are approximately 80 nucleotides in length. Their secondary structure includes four short double-helical elements and three loops (D, anti-codon, and T loops). Lineage: Bacteria; Pseudomonadati; Pseudomonadota; Alphaproteobacteria; Rhodobacterales; Roseobacteraceae. RNAcentral also lists the same sequence under 18 other names. The record is from RNAcentral.
UGGGAUGUGGCCUAGCGGUAGGGCAACUGUUUUUGGUACAGUAGAUCGUAGGUUCGAAUCCUACCAUCCCAGCCA